This is a long non-coding RNA of Apteryx owenii (little spotted kiwi), 568 nucleotides long. The record is from Ensembl. Lineage: Eukaryota; Metazoa; Chordata; Aves; Apterygiformes; Apterygidae.
GCCAUUUCGCUUUCCCUUCCAGCUCCUUCAAUCGCUGAAAGCCAAAGGACCAAUGGAGGAAACCCAGCAUGUCUUUUCUUAGUAAGACUAACACAGAAAAUGGGUCGGAUUUCUAGCGUAUAUCCAGAAGAAUGGCUCUUCAGAGGCUGAACUCUGCAACCCUUAAAGGCAAUGGCUAUGUUAAGCAGCCCCUAAGGAUGGCGAGAGAUCACCUUCGUUUUAAAAGCACCUCUACAGAGAAUGUCAAAGCAAGCUAAAGGGAAGCAGCUGUUACUGUUCUCCCCCUGUUGUAGGGUGCAUCUAGCCCCACGGUAAGCCAGAACUGCCUGACGCCACUGAGGUGAUCUGCUGAUGCACAGCGUGGAGUUGCAUCUGUCAGGCUGUUCCUGGUACCCUGGUUGCUUUGUGCCCUGCUCCCCAGGGGCUGCAGAAAGUGAUUCCUCUGUCUGGGAAGGAGCAAGUGCUGCCCAGCCCACAGCUGCUGGGCCAAGCGCUUUGGUACUCUGCGGAUCAUCUCCACCAGAGAAAAUAAACAGCAAAGCUCCUGUAAAGGCUCCCCAACGAAUCC